RNAcentral lists this ribosomal RNA (492 nucleotides) under uncultured bacterium. RNAcentral describes it as "partial 16S ribosomal RNA". It matches the Rfam family "Bacterial small subunit ribosomal RNA", at positions 29 to 507 of the family's 1533-position model. The record is from RNAcentral.
AGUGAACGCUGGCGGUAGGCCUAACACAUGCAAGUCGAACGGCAGCACAGUAAGAUUUUGCUCUUACGGGUGGCGAGUGGCGGACGGGUGAGGAAUACAUCGGCAUCUACUUUUUCGUGGGGGAUAACGUAGGGAAACUUACGCUAAUACCUCAUACGACCUACGGGUGAAAGCAGGGGAUCUUCGGACCUUGCGCGAUUGUAUUAGCCGAUGUCGCAUUAGCUAGUUGGCGGGGUAAAGGCCCACCAAGGCGACGAUCCGUAGCUGGUCUGAGAGGAUGAUCAGCCACACUGGAACUGAGACACGGUCCAGACUCCUACGGGAGGCAGCAGUGGGGAAUAUUGGACAAAGGGCGCAAGCCUGAUCCAGCCAUACCGCGUGGGUGAAGAAGGCCUUCGGGUUGUAAAGCCCUUUUGUUGGGAAAGAAAAGCAGCAGGUUAAUACCCCGCUGUUCUGACGGUACCCGAAGAAUAAGCACCGGCUAACUUCGUG